Molecule: ribosomal RNA, 490 nt
Filed under: uncultured bacterium
Lineage: Bacteria
Description: partial 16S ribosomal RNA
Rfam family: Bacterial small subunit ribosomal RNA
Source: RNAcentral
GAUGAACGCUAGCUACAGGCUUAACACAUGCAAGUCGAGGGGCAGCAUGGUCUUAGCUUGCUAAGGCCGAUGGCGACCGGCGCACGGGUGAGUAACACGUAUCCAACCUGCCGUCUACUCUUGGACAGCCUUCUGAAAGGAAGAUUAAUACAAGAUGGCAUCAUGAGUCCGCAUGUUCACAUGAUUAAAGGUAUUCCGGUAGACGAUGGGGAUGCGUUCCAUUAGAUAGUAGGCGGGGUAACGGCCCACCUAGUCUUCGAUGGAUAGGGGUUCUGAGAGGAAGGUCCCCCACAGUGGAACUGAGACACGGGCCAAACUCCUACGGGAGGCAGCAGUGAGGAAGAUUGGUCAAUGGGAGAGAGCCUGAACCAGCCAAGUAGCGUGAAGGAUGACUGCCCUAUGGGUUGUAAACUUCUUUUAGAAAGGAAUAAAGUCGGGUAUGGAUACCCGUUUGCAUGUACUUUAUGAAUAAGGAUCGGCUAACUCCGUG